UAGGAUGCGAGCGUUGUCCGGAUUUAUUGGGCGUAAAGAGUUCGUAGGUGGUUUGUUAAGUUUGGUGUUAAAGAUUGGGGCUCAACCCUGAAACUGCACUGAAUACUGGCAGACUCGAGUGUGGUAGAGGCUAGUGGAAUUCCCAGUGUAGCGGUGAAAUGCGUAGAUAUUGGGAAGAACACCAGCGGCGAAAGCGUGUGACUGGGUCUGCACUGACACUGAGGGACGAAAGCUAGGGGAGCGAAAGGGAUUAGAUACCCCUGUAGUCCUAGCCGUAAACGAUGACAACUAGGUGUGGUUCGUAUCGACCCGAGCCGUGCCGUAGCCAACGCGUUAAGUUGUCCGCCUGGGGAGUACGCACGCAAGUGUGAAACUCAAAGGAAUUGACGGGGACCCGCAC
Molecule: ribosomal RNA, 400 nt
Filed under: Chloropicon mariensis
Lineage: Eukaryota; Viridiplantae; Chlorophyta; Chloropicophyceae; Chloropicales; Chloropicaceae
Description: partial Bacterial small subunit ribosomal RNA
Rfam family: Bacterial small subunit ribosomal RNA
Source: RNAcentral